RNAcentral lists this ribosomal RNA (275 nucleotides) under uncultured bacterium. Its description in RNAcentral is "partial 16S ribosomal RNA". It matches the Rfam family "Bacterial small subunit ribosomal RNA", at positions 338 to 605 of the family's 1533-position model. The record is from RNAcentral.
CCUACGGGUGGCUGCAGUGGGGAAUUUUGGACAAUGGGCGCAAGCCUGAUCCAGCCAUGCCGCGUGCGGGAAGAAGGCCUUCGGGUUGUAAACCGCUUUUGUCAGGGAAGAAACGGCUCUUUCUAAUACAGAGAGCUAAUGACGGUACCUGAAGAAUAAGCACCGGCUAACUACGUGCCAGCAGCCGCGGUAAUACGUAGGGUGCAAGCGUUAAUCGGAAUUACUGGGCGUAAAGCGUGCGCAGGCGGCUUUGCAAGACAGAUGUGAAAUCCCCG